GUUUGAUCCUGGCUCAGGAUGAACGCUGGCGGCGUGCUUAACACAUGCAAGUCGAACGAUCCUUCGGGAUAGUGGCGGACGGGUGAGUAACGCGUGGGAAUCUGCCCUCAGGAGGGGGAUAACGGCUGGAAACGGCCGCUAAUACCCCAUAUGCCGAGAGGUGAAAUGAAUUUCGCCUGAGGAUGAGCCCGCGUCUGAUUAGCUAGUUGGUGGGGUAAAGGCCUACCAAGGCGACGAUCAGUAGCUGGUCUGAGAGGAUGAUCAGCCACACUGGGACUGAGACACGGCCCAGACUCCUACGGGAGGCAGCAGUGGGGAAUUUUCCGCAAUGGGCGAAAGCCUGACGGAGCAACGCCGCGUGAGGGAUGAAGGCCUCUGGGCUGUAAACCUCUUUUCUCAAGGAAGAAGAACUGACGGUACUUGAGGAAUAAGCCACGGCUAAUUCCGUGCCAGCAGCCGCGGUAAUACGGGAGUGGCAAGCGUUAUCCGGAAUUAUUGGGCGUAAAGCGUCCGCAGGCGGCCUUGUAAGUCUGUUGUUAAAGCGUGGAGCUCAACUCCAUUUAAGCAAUGGAAACUACAAGGCUGGAGUGUGGUAGGGGCAGAGGGAAUUCCCGGUGUAGCGGUGAUAUGCGUAGAUAUCGGGAGGAACACCAGUGGCGAAGGCGCUCUGCUGGGCCAUAACUGACGCUCAUGGACGAAAGCCAGGGGAGCGAAAGGGAUUAGAUACCCCUGUAGUCCUGGCCGUAAACGAUGAACACUAGGUGUCGGGGGAAUCGACCCCCUCGGUGUCGUAGCCAACGCGUUAAGUGUUCCGCCUGGGGAGUACGCACGCAAGUGUGAAACUCAAAGGAAUUGACGGGGGCCCGCACAAGCGGUGGAGUAUGUGGUUUAAUUCGAUGCAACGCGAAGAACCUUACCAGGGUUUGACAUCCUGCGAAUCCCUUGGAAACGAGGGAGUGCCUUCGGGAGCGCAGUGACAGGUGGUGCAUGGCUGUCGCCAGCUCGUGUCGUGAGAUGUUGGGUUAAGUCCCGCAACGAGCGCAACCCACGUCUUUAGUUGCCAGCAUUCAGUUGGGCACUCUAGAGAGACCGCCGGUGAUAAACCGGAGGAAGGUGUGGAUGACGUCAAGUCAUCAUGCCCCUUACAUCCUGGGCUACACACGUACUACAAUGCUACGGACAAAGGGCAGCAAGCUCGCGAGAGUUAGCAAAUCCCAUAAACCGUGGCUCAGUUCAGAUCGUAGGCUGCAACUCGCCUACGUGAAGGAGGAAUCGCUAGUAAUCGCAGGUCAGCAUACUGCGGUGAAUACGUUCCCGGGCCUUGUACACACCGCCCGUCACACCAUGGAAGUUGGCCAUGCCCGAAGUCGUUACUCCAACCCUUGUGGAGGAGGACGCCGAAGGUGGGGCUGAUGACUGGGGU
RNAcentral lists this ribosomal RNA (1423 nucleotides) under metagenome. RNAcentral describes it as "bacterial SSU rRNA". It matches the Rfam family "Bacterial small subunit ribosomal RNA". The record is from RNAcentral.